GAUGAAGAACGUAGCGAAAUGCGAUAGGUAGUGUGAAUUGCAGAUGUAACGUGAAUCAUCGAAUCUUUGAACGCAAAUUGCACUCUCUGGUAUUCCGGGGAGUAUGCCUGUUUGAGGGUCGCCAAAUCAACAUCGAAAUUCAUUUGCUUUUGUAAAUGUUUAUCGGAUUUGAGCCGUCUUUUAUUUUUUUAAUUAAAGUGGCUUAAAAUGUAUUUUUUGGUAUCGAAAAACGUUAUUUUACGAUCAAAUUGAUUAAAAAAACAAACGUUUCGAAUGCCGUCUUUUAAUGUAAUACGCUUGACUGUGGUGUUAAUCAUAGUUUCAUUCGUAUACGAUUUUUUAAUUUUUGACCUCAAAUCAGGUAAGAACACCCGCUGAACUUAAGCAUAUCAAUAAGCGGAGGA
RNAcentral lists this unclassified non-coding RNA (404 nucleotides) under soil metagenome. RNAcentral's name for it is "partial contains 5.8S ribosomal RNA, internal transcribed spacer 2, and large subunit ribosomal RNA". The stretch from base 1 to 121 matches the Rfam family "5.8S ribosomal RNA", at positions 35 to 154 of the family's 154-position model. The record is from RNAcentral.